UACGUAGGUGGCGAGCGUUGUCCGGAUUUACUGGGCGUAAAGGGCGUGCAGGCGGUCUGCUAAGUCUAGGGUGAAAGCUCCCGGCUCAACUGGGAGAGGUCCUUGGAUACUGACAGACUUGAGGGAGGCAGAGGAGAAUGGAAUUCCCGGUGUAGUGGUGAUAUGCGUAGAUAUCAGGAGGAACACCGAUGGCGAAGGCAGCUCGCUGGGACGGUACUGACGCUGAGGCGCGAAAGCGUGGGGAGCAAACAGG
This 253-nucleotide ribosomal RNA is filed under the name uncultured bacterium. RNAcentral's name for it is "partial 16S ribosomal RNA". It matches the Rfam family "Bacterial small subunit ribosomal RNA", at positions 524 to 776 of the family's 1533-position model. The record is from RNAcentral.